CAGCAGCCGCGGGAAUACGAAGGGGGCUAGCGUUGUUCGGAUUUACUGGGCGUAAAGCGCACGUAGGCGGAUCCUUAAGUCAGAGGUGAAAUCCCAAGGCUCAACCUUGGAACUGCCUUUGAUACUGGGGAUCUCGAGUUCGGGAGAGGUGAGUGGAACUGCGAGUGUAGAGGUGAAAUUCGUAGAUAUUCGCAAGAACACCAGUGGCGAAGGCGGCUCACUGGCCCGACACUGACGCUGAGGCGCGAAAGCGUGGGGAGCAAACAGGAUUAGAUACCCCCGUAGUCCCUGUCUCUUAUAC
RNAcentral lists this ribosomal RNA (301 nucleotides) under uncultured bacterium. RNAcentral describes it as "partial 16S ribosomal RNA". It matches the Rfam family "Bacterial small subunit ribosomal RNA", at positions 509 to 807 of the family's 1533-position model. The record is from RNAcentral.